This 23-nucleotide non-coding RNA is filed under the name Arabidopsis thaliana (thale cress). Lineage: Eukaryota; Viridiplantae; Streptophyta; Magnoliopsida; Brassicales; Brassicaceae. The record is from RNAcentral.
GAAGCGUAAUGUCAUGUGGUGUA